CCCUCCUCUCUUCAUCAUCUCCGUCUGUUAUUACAGCGCGAGAUUAAUUCAAGAUUACUCCGAUUAUCAUGCCGGCUAAUCUAAUCUAAUCUAAUCUACUAGAUUUUUGGAUAUUUUUUUUCUGGUCAACUAUGAUUUUGGAUUUGCUUCCUCAUUCUGUACGGUUCUUCGCAAAAUUUGGGAAAAAAGUAAAAGUUUCUUACUUCUUGUGGAUGAUAAAUCGGCUGCCCUAUGAUGGAAAAGCAUCCUUUUCCGUUUUGUUGGGUCGAUUUCUCGGAAAGAUCGAGGGUUUUGCUCGGUUACUUGUUCUUAGCUUCUUACCUGGGACUCUUGUUCUGCAAAUCCAGAAAUCUAGGGUUCGCCCAAUCUUCCUUUCUCGAAAUCGGAUUCACUCUUGUAUCUGUCUGAGGCAUGACUGUCUUGUAUGGAGUAUGGGAUUGCAUUUUUCCUUCACAACAUUGGAAAUGCAACUCCAGUUGCAUGUAUUCCCUCGAGUCUGAGAAGAAUGUGGAGAAAGGCAGUAGGUCAAGAGAAUGUGUUGCUGAAUGCAGAGAUGAUGUACCUCGCUUAGUCUCUCACGUAUAAAAGUAGAACUGCCCAUUUUAUGGAUAUCGAAUCACCAAACAAGGAGGUCUCGAAGGAUUUGGCUCGUGAAUCGCUCAUCGCCAUAUCGAACUUGUUACCUGAUAAUGUUCUAGGCGAGGACGUCUCACUGCUCGAAAGCUUGAGCAACGGUAAUGGUGUUGCAGCAGUGAACAGUGACAUUACCGAGAAAUACAGGACGGAGCUGAUAUCAAUCUCGUAUGGGCAAUCCCCUGAUGCGAAACCGAAACCUGUUGCUCUUAAUCGUGAGGGUUAGAGACAGGAUUCCCUUAUGUCUUGAUGUUGUCUUGCACAAAGCUACUUUUGAUGUAAUGUAAAAUAACUCUCAUCCUGGGAUGGUUUUACUGAUGUUUUGUCUGCAAAACUAUACAGAUGUAUGGUAUGAUUAGUUUGAAAGACUGCAGAGGCAGGUACUCUUAUUUGCUUCGACCUUGUGCAUUACUCAU
This is a non-coding RNA of Punica granatum (pomegranate), 1049 nucleotides long. NCBI's taxonomy places the organism in Eukaryota, Viridiplantae, Streptophyta, Magnoliopsida, Myrtales, Lythraceae. The record is from RefSeq and is a predicted model, not a curated record.